GGAGUUAGCCGGUGCUUCUUCUGUGAGUGAUGUCCUUCCUGCCGGUUAUUGACCCGCAGGCCUUCUUCCUCACUGAAAGUGCUUUACAACCCGAAGGCCUUCUUCACACACGCGGCAUGGCUGGAUCAGGGUUGCCCCCAUUGUCCAAUAUUCCCCACUGCUGCCUCCCGUAGGAGUCUGGGCCGUGUCUCAGUCCCAGUGUGGCUGAUCAUCCUCUCAGACCAGCUACGGAUCGUCGCCUUGGUGAGCCGUUACCUCACCAACCAGCUAAUCCGACAUAGGCUCAUCCGAUAGCGCGAGGCCCGAAGGUCCCCCGCUUUCCCCCGUAGGGCGUAUGCGGUAUUAGCCUGGGUUUCCCCCAGGUUAUCCCCCACUACCGGGCAGAUUCCUAUGCAUUACUCACCCGUCCGCCGCUCGCCACCAGGGAGCAAGCUCCCCGUGCUGCCGCUCGACUUGCAUGUGUUAGGCCUGCCGCCAGCGUUCAAUCUGAGCCAGAAUCGAACCUGA
This 507-nucleotide ribosomal RNA is filed under the name uncultured bacterium. Its description in RNAcentral is "partial 16S ribosomal RNA". The record is from RNAcentral.